RNAcentral lists this ribosomal RNA (274 nucleotides) under uncultured bacterium. RNAcentral's name for it is "partial 16S ribosomal RNA". It matches the Rfam family "Bacterial small subunit ribosomal RNA", at positions 523 to 796 of the family's 1533-position model. The record is from RNAcentral.
AUACGGAGGGUGCGAGCGUUAAUCGGAAUUACAGGGCGUAAAGCGUACGUAGGCGGUUCGUUAAGUUAGAUGUGAAAGCCCCGGGCUUAACCUGGGAACUGCAUUUAAAACUGGCGAACUAGAGUUGAGUAGAGGGGAGUGGAAUUUCAGGUGUAGCGGUGAAAUGCGUAGAGAUCUGAAGGAACACCAGUGGCGAAGGCGACUCCCUGGACUCGAACUGACGCUGAGGUACGAAAGCGUGGGUAGCAAACGGGAUUAGAAACCCCAGUAGUCC